UUUAGGCUGGUUAAUGUUUGUAUUGGAGCCCACUACCUUUUAUUUGGCUUGUUUCUUACCAUCUUCCUUGCUUCUCUGGUUGUUUCACGGUUGGGACGGUGGCGUGGCGUUGGGGCUGUCUUGCGGGUCGGCCGGAGAGGGAGCACACCGAGUGGGCUUCUAAGAUGGCUGAGGUGAUUAUUUGCUCCCUUGUUUGUCUUUCCCUUUGUGAUGUGUAUGUGCUCAUCAAGGGCCUUGUUAUUUUUUAGGGAUUUGUCUAGGGUUUCCUGGUUAAUCCAUUCUAAUUUUGGUCUGCUCAUGCUCUUGGCUUCCGGACCGUGGUGCUCAAG
RNAcentral lists this long non-coding RNA (329 nucleotides) under Triticum aestivum (bread wheat). RNAcentral describes it as "long non-coding RNA (TAES_LNC027935)". The record is from RNAcentral. Lineage: Eukaryota; Viridiplantae; Streptophyta; Magnoliopsida; Poales; Poaceae.